UCCCAAGUUCAGAGGUUACAGACCUGUGC
RNAcentral lists this non-coding RNA (29 nucleotides) under Mus musculus (house mouse). Lineage: Eukaryota; Metazoa; Chordata; Mammalia; Rodentia; Muridae. The record is from RNAcentral.